GGCCGCUGCAGCCCGCGCCGCGCUAUCUCCCGGGGCACUCGUGGGCACGCGCGCCGGCUCCUCUGUCAGUCACCUGCCUGUCAGCCCCGCAGCCGGGCUGCACCGGCGGCGAGCGGCGGCGGCGGACGGAGCCGCGCGGGGAGGAGGAGACGGCGGCGGCGGUGCUGGUGGUGGUGGUGGUGGUGGCUGCGGCGGCGGCGGCGGCGGCGGGCGGGCGGGGGAGGGGGUGGGGGUGCAGGGGCGGCCCCGCAGGCUGAGGGGGGGCGCGCGGGCGGCGCAGCGGGGUCCCGGGCGGGGCGCAGCGGGCCGCGGGCUUCCAGGCGCGCUCCCCGCGCUACCCCAGUGCCAUGGUGCGCCCGAGGAGCCGCUCGGUUUAGAGCUGUGGGGCCGGCGGCGGAGGGAUACCCCGGCCGGGAGCCGCCUCACCGCUCCUCAAACUUCCUGACAUUUGAACUCAUUGGUGCGCCUCGUAUCCCUGCGCCGGGAUGAGCCGGCGACUCCACGUCAAAUAGUGCCGUCGCUGCCCACCCCCCCACCUCUCCAACCCUCCCGCCCCCCGGCGGGAGGGCUCCCCGCGGCCCCCCGGCUUGAGCUCCCUGCGCUGCGCUGGGCCCCCGAGUGCGGACCCGGGCGCCCCCGGCCAGGCCGAGCGCCCCGCGGGUCCCUCGCAGAAGUUUGGGUCGCCUUCGAAACAAAUCCUUCUGCCCCACCCCCUUGAAAAAUUGAUUUGGGAGUUGGGGAAUGAAAGCUUUUCUUUCUUUCUUUUUUUUUUCUUCCCUCUUCUUGCCUUCUUUAUUAUUAAUAUUUUGUAAAGCUUCAGUGCUAAGAGGAGUGGCCCUGAGAGAGGACAGACUCUUCACGGACGGCGGGGAGAGCAGCGGCUCCACCAGGAGACGGCGCCGACCCGCAGUGGCCGCCCGAGGGAGACCCCGACCGUCGGCCGAGGUCCUGCAGGCCCACCCCAGACUCCAAAUUCCGGGAACAGCAGGUCAUCCCCUUCUUCCUGUUUCCCACUCCCGCCUUCCCUGUGCCGAGCCUCUUCUCCACAUCUCUCUUAUCCCCUUUGUCGGAAUGGAGACCUCUGAGCUUCUGGGACUCUAUGGCUGCUGUACAGAGUUGAGUCGGAACUGUGCCCAGGGUUGCAUUCCCGGGGCGGCUCAAAGGCCGCAUCUCCAAGCAGAAGGGUGAGCCGGCGACCCACCUUCAGCUGAGUCGGCGGCGUCCCGGCUCCUUCGCGCUGUGCGCAGAGGCCCCAGGUCUCUUUCAAGCCCAGUUGUGGCUCCUGCGUCUCCCGACGGGCUUCCCCUGCUGAAAACUUGGCGGACUGUACUGUAGAAACGGGGCCUCGGCCUGAAGUUGGAUACUGCCGGUAGCUGGCGAGUGCUGUCUUGCUUGGACCGCCGACAGAAGCCGCCAAUUCCUCCCCAGGGCGACCCCGGGCCCUCUGGCGAUCCGGGAUUCUCUUGGGCUUGGACUAAGGUGUCAGAAACAGCUUCGGGUUUUCUCCACCUAAGGGAAGACCCAGUCGACGGUGCGGAAUCGCUUGGGAAGAAGCAAGAACUGAGAUGGAAGCUGUAGGGCAGGAGUCUUAGCUCCCCAAUUCUAUGGACACCUCAUUUCCCCUGAGCCUUUCUCUCUACCUCCUUGCUCCUUUCCUUAGGGCUUAGUGCUCCCACAGCCUGCCUGCGCGCUACCAGCGGCCCACAAGCAGGGUCCUAGGACCCCUACCCUCUGGGCAGUGGAGCCCUGUCUGUUCUCCCCCAGCCGUGCUUCUGACCAGAGCCAGCCGUGAGUCCCCUCCCAGUUUACAGCCCCAGCUGGAAGCCAGAAUCCUGGGCAGGAGUGGAGGACAGGGCGCGGCCCAGCCUGGUGCUGCACAGCUUGGAGGCGCGGGCGCCGGGCUGUGCGGAUCUGAGAUUCCACCCUGCCAGCCAGGGGUAGAGUCAGGGCUGCCAGAGCACGCAGACCCCAUCCUGCCUUGCUUGCUGGCCACUGGCCCCUGAGAUCCUCAGAUGCGUGCAUGUAGGAACGUGGGGGGAGCCAGCCUGGACCAGAGCUGAGGCCCCCAGCCAAGACCUAGGCUGGGGGCUGCUCCUCCCAGGACCUAGCCUGGGCUCUGAAGACCUGGGUGCUCAGGAAGUGAAGCAGGCAGGCACUGAAGGGGUUGAGUGUACCGGCCUCUGGAGCCAGAUGUGAUCACCCUUGACUCCUUGGAUCACUGGCUGUACUUGACCCCCAGGACACAGGGGUCAAAGGCUCAGGUCUCUUCUCAGCUAGCAGAGAGAUGCAUGUGUGUGAUAAGUAAUCUGGUCACCUUCCCGCAGCCCAGGGAAGAGGGUCUGUGGUCUUCCCAUGUCUGCGGAGAGCUCAGAGACCCUGAGUCCCGUGGAGGUGCCCAGAGGGAUGACUGGGGAGGGGGGUGCGGUUUCCAAGUGUGUGGGGGGUCCCUCUGACUCAGGACUGGGAGCAGGCCUCACUCUCCCAUCUGGGGUUUUCUAGACUGAGGCGGCAGGGGAGAAGACUUUAGUUAGAACUUGCUGGUGAGGCACAGUGUGUGUGGCUCUGAGGCUGUGUGCGGGUGUGUAUCCGUGUGCAAUGUGGGGUCUAUCCAGCCCCAGCACCAUCCUCAACCAGCUGGUGGGGGAGUCUCUGGCCACGGACUCAUGACUUUUCAGCACAAGGUCUGGGUUACUAGUCAUGAGAUUUCUCCUUGGUGGGUCAGGAGAUCCUGACUCAGGAUUGCAGAUCGAAAGGCUGCUUUGAGCCCUCAGGGCUGGAGAGGGACAGUGCCCCAGUCAGGUGGCCCAGGGCUGAGAUCUCUCACUGGCCAAACAGUGGGUUAGAACUGGGGUGAAGAGCAGGUCUCAGGAAGUCCCCCCAGAUCUGGUUUAGGACCUCCAGAAGGCCCUCCCCUCGCUCUGUACUGCAACUUCCUCAUCUGUAAAGUGGGCGUAAUAGCCUGAAUUCCCGCAGGGCCGUUGGGAGAAUGGACUACAAGUGCUCACCACAGUGCCUGGCACAUAGUGCGUCUCCACUCAGAUAUCUGGAGGAAAGAGAGUCCCCAGGACAUAGGGGAGACUGCAGCUGCCUCCUUCCUGCCCAAACGCAUGCUGAGCUCAACAAUCUAUCUUCCUUUAGGGGAGGUGAAACUCAGGUCCAGGCAGCUGUGGGCCGGGUCCAGGAGACCCCCUGCCCCCCGCCCAGGCAGUGCCCAGACAGCCCAGCACAGUCUCAGCCUUCACUCCUCGCUUUGGCUGUGGAGCCCAGGCUGAGGGGUUUUUCAGACGGCAACAAAAUUAGGGGCUUCAGCCUAAUGCAUCGAAGCUGUCUGUGUGGGACUCCCAAGGUGCCAUUUAUAUUUAUUUCCUAAAAGGCACUUUCCUCAAGAAUCUUUGCAUUUCUUGCCAAAUGGACAGGCUGGGGUAUUUCAGCGGCUCCUAUAGAACCGGGGCUUCCCUGAUGGAGGACCUGAGCCAGAACAAAGAAAAGGCCCAGGACCAUAUUUCGAGCCAUAAAACCCCCAUUAGGACACUUACGAAUAACUCGCAGAAAGACAUUUUAUAUGAAUUGGACCCAAAUUCACAAAAGCAAGAAAGUUCAUUGGUCUCCACCCCGAGGGUCCGUGACUGGGGAAGGGGGGCUGGGUGUGAUGCAGGGGCCAGCGCCCAGCCUAUUUGAUCUUUAUCUUAAAUCCACUUCAAAAGCGGGGGAUCGGCAGAGCUGGAGGUUUGCCUCUUCCUGUAAUUAUUUGGUGUCUAGUAAAGUUUUUAUGAGUGUCUGUGCAAAUAAAUGCAUUUGAUGUGCAUUUGUUUUGGCUAGU
Long non-coding RNA from Bos indicus x Bos taurus (hybrid cattle), 3820 nucleotides. The record is from Ensembl. Lineage: Eukaryota; Metazoa; Chordata; Mammalia; Artiodactyla; Bovidae.